This 297-nucleotide ribosomal RNA is filed under the name uncultured microorganism. RNAcentral's name for it is "partial 16S ribosomal RNA". It matches the Rfam family "Bacterial small subunit ribosomal RNA", at positions 505 to 796 of the family's 1533-position model. The record is from RNAcentral.
GUGCCAGCAGCCGCUGGUAAUACAGAAGGGUGCAAGCGUUAAUCGGAAAUUACUGGGCGUAAAAGCGCGCGUAGGUGGUUAGUUAAGUUGGAUGUGAAAUCCCCGGGCUCAACCUGGGAACUGCAUUCAAAACUGACUGACUAGAGUAUGGUAGAGGGUGGUGGAAUUUCCUGUGUAGCGGUGAAAUGCGUAGAUAUAGGAAGGAACACCAGUGGCGAAGGCGACCACCUGGACUGAUACUGACACUGAGGUGCGAAAGCGUGGGGGAGCAAACAGGAUUAGAUACCCUGGUAGUCC